This 512-nucleotide ribosomal RNA is filed under the name uncultured bacterium. Its description in RNAcentral is "bacterial SSU rRNA". It matches the Rfam family "Bacterial small subunit ribosomal RNA", at positions 28 to 528 of the family's 1533-position model. The record is from RNAcentral.
GACGAACGCUGGCGGCGUGGAUUAGGCAUGCAAGUCGAACGGUAUCAUCCUUUCGGGGGUGAGAGAGUGGCGAACUGGUGAGUAACACGUAGGUUAUCUACCCUCAAGACGGGGGACAACCCAGGGAAACUUGGGCUAAUACCGGAUGUGAGCAACUUUUUAGUUGUUUGAAAGGUGGCGUAAGCUGUCGCUUGGGGAUGAGCCUGCGUCCUAUUAGUUAGUUGGUGAGGUAACGGCUCACCUAGGCAAUGAUAGGUAGGCGGCCUUAACGGGUGGUCGCCCACACUGGGAUUGAGAUACGGCCCAGACUCCUACGGGAGGCAGCAGUCGAGAAUAGUCUACAAUGGUCGGAAGACUGAUAGUGCGACGCCGCGUGAACGAUGAAUCCCUUCGGGGUGUAAAGUUCUUUUAUAUGUGAGCAGUGCUUCUUAUAUUAACAGUAUGGGGAGAGAGAUAUUAGCAUAUGAAUAAGCAACGGCUAACUCCGUGCCAGCAGCCGCGGUAAACCUCGU